AUACCCGGUGUGUUUGUGUGUGUGCGUAAAAAAGUGAACAAAAAAAAAAAUGAACAAAGACCUAAAAGUUCAUUACCCAUUGACAUUCUUGUAACCCUGCAUGUAUAUAAAACAAAAACCAUUUUCAUAAUUCAAAGUGUGGCUUUGGAUAAACAUUCUCUCUCGUUGUGUGUGUGUGUGUGUGUGUCUUUUAGACACCACCACAAACAAACAAACAAACAAUUAUUACACACACCGAUAAUUGAUUAAAAAGGUGUGCGUGUGUGUGUGUGUUCUUAAUUAUCAUUAUCAUCUGAAUAAUGAAUUUGUGAAACAGAAAAAAAUUCAUCGAGAAAAACCACAAACAAAGUAUGUGACAAAUAUGAUGACAGUAACGAUGAUGAUGAUGAUGAUGGCCAAUACCGAAAUAAUUCGAUAAUUGAAUUCUCAAAUUUGGAAAUUAUUUUCAAUAUUGAAACAAGGUAGGUUUCGUUUAUUUAAUUUAAUUUUCGAAUCUAAAAUUUUUUAUUA
This 510-nucleotide long non-coding RNA is filed under the name Dermatophagoides pteronyssinus (European house dust mite). RNAcentral describes it as "uncharacterized LOC113796406, transcript variant X2". Lineage: Eukaryota; Metazoa; Arthropoda; Arachnida; Sarcoptiformes; Pyroglyphidae. The record is from RNAcentral.